UGUGUUAGAGUGCUGGUAUGUAGGCUACUGGUGUUGAGGGAAUCUGUGUGCUGGAGAAGCAAGAAGUCUCCCAAGCACGGGGCUUUUCCUCAGACAGCAGCCGCCACAGUCGCUGAGUAACCUAGGAGUGUAAUUUGGGUGUUUAGGGCGGGCAGAGAGUGCCAGCAGUGCCCUGGACACUAAGCUCUACAGUGUCAUAGUCUACCACUGUGGUGGCACUGUAUUGAUUUUCCAGUGUGAGGCUACCAUCUUUCAGUGCAGCGGCAGGCGGCCACACUCCAGCAUGCACUCGUAAAACAUUCGCCCACUCUCACACUCCAACAACCACUAGCACCCCUCUCACUCCUCUCCAAAAGCUAAGCAGGCGAGGUAGCAGAGAUGAGACUGGAGCGCAGUGCAGCAGAUGCGGAGUCUUCCUCCACGGAGACUGUCAGCGCAGCUGAGACAGAAAUGCUGUCGGAGGGACCGGGUAAGUGUAUAUGUUUGUUGUUUUUCUUGUUUCUUGUUUGUAAACAGCAAAUAAUUUUAUUUGUUUGGAGAAAUUAUACAGUAAUAAUUGUUAGUUAAUAAUUUCUGCUGCG
Cherax quadricarinatus is the source of this 581-nucleotide non-coding RNA. Lineage: Eukaryota; Metazoa; Arthropoda; Malacostraca; Decapoda; Parastacidae. The record is from RefSeq and is a predicted model, not a curated record.